GUGGUAGCCAUAUCUUCCAGAAUUGAAAAGGUGCGCUCCAAAUUGAAUCAACUUGCAUCACGCCGUGUGCUACUUCUUUUCCAUCAUCACGUGUUGCACCUUCUUCUCCAAAGCAAAUGAAUUGAUUUCUCCUCUCAAAAUCAUAAUCGUAUGCCAUUCAUUUUCUCCCAUCUAAUUACUUCUUCUUUAAAAGAAAAAAUUUAAUAACAAAAUAAAAUUCACCGUGCGUGAAUGCUAUUUCCCCUUUCUAAAUCAACAAGCUUCUUUCUAAAAGCCAAGAUUAAAAAAAAAACAAUUCACCGAAGAAAAAAAAAGGAUUCAGCGCUUCAUUAAAAAAAAAGAAAAGAAGGUGUGCUUAUGAAAAUAAAAGACGUAACAAUAAGCUCCCCCCGUUUUUAUCUCC
RNAcentral lists this long non-coding RNA (403 nucleotides) under Vigna radiata. Its description in RNAcentral is "long non-coding RNA (VRAD_LNC009779)". The record is from RNAcentral. Lineage: Eukaryota; Viridiplantae; Streptophyta; Magnoliopsida; Fabales; Fabaceae.